Long non-coding RNA from Macrobrachium nipponense, 890 nucleotides. RefSeq lists it as uncharacterized. The transcript has 2 exons. Lineage: Eukaryota; Metazoa; Arthropoda; Malacostraca; Decapoda; Palaemonidae. The record is from RefSeq and is a predicted model, not a curated record.
GUUGUAGACCUAUUUCGACCGGCAUUUGACAAUAGAAAAGUAUUUUUUUUUUUUUUUAGUAUAUCCACCUAGCAUAGGUUUUUCAAAAGAAAAGCAAAUUAAGAGGAAGAGAAACUGGCAUGAAACUGGAGCCAUGCAGCGGCCAUGCUUGAGCGAAGUCGAAGGACUACUGGAAGGAGUCGCGGCAGCAGCAUCCUCCUCCCAUCCUCCCCCUCCCCCGCAAAAGGGCGCGCAGGUCGAAUCCGAGGAAGACGCCAACAUCGCGGUCUGCGCGAAGGAAUGGCUCCAAAUCAUCUGUUCCGAGGACAUCGGGCUGAGCAGGGAGUACCUAGAUGGCGUCGACUUGUCGCGUCCUCCGGGGGUUACCGGAGAUUGUCCCUUCAACUGUCGGGGACGUCGUCUUCUCCAUAUAUUCUCGUGGGAGUUUGCGGCCACGGAGCACAUGCACCGCGAGAAAAUGGAGUUGUUGGUGAAUCACGGACUGAUAUACUGGGACAAGCAGAGAAUGGACAGGCAAUUCCGGGAGGAAAUGCGGGAGGGUAAAAUAGAAGUUUUGGAGAAGAUGGUUGCUGAAUUCAGAGAGCAAGGAAGAAUUUGUUUUGCAAAAAAAUGAAGUUCGAAGUUUUAGAUGUAAUGAUGGAGGAGUAAUUCCGUAUUACAGGAAUAGAUAGAAUGUAAAAACCUAUGAAAGUGAAUUAAAGUCAAAACACCGAGGAGAUUUUUUCGUUGGAAACAAAUAAAAAAAUCAAAAUUCGCGCUCUGGUACACUGUAUUCGUUUGCCGCAGUUCUUUUAUUUUCAUAUUUCUGUAUACCUCAUUGUAUGAAUUUUUAUAUCCAAAGUAUUUGUAUACAUACAAGGAAAUAUACUGGCCUUAGAUAAGGUAACCAA